This is a long non-coding RNA of Vicugna pacos (alpaca), 349 nucleotides long. RefSeq lists it as uncharacterized. NCBI's taxonomy places the organism in Eukaryota, Metazoa, Chordata, Mammalia, Artiodactyla, Camelidae. The record is from RefSeq and is a predicted model, not a curated record.
GUCAUUACGUCGUCCGAAACCUUAAAGGAACCGGAUUCCUCAAUGCAAAAGUACUGUGAAUUCAAAAGAAACUCAUUUCUUGAAGCAAAAGGUGAGGAAGAGGAGCAAGAAAUACCAAGGACUGCUGUCCACAGUACUGCCUUCUCCUGUGGCUGAGUCUCCCUGCUGUCCUGUGAUGGCUGCAGAUGGCAAUCUGGUACCCAAGAGAAGCCUUUCACAUUCAGCAGAGAGAGUUCCUUCCUGCUGCUUUCUCAUAAGAGAAAAGAACCUUCUUUACUAGAAGACCCCACUGCCCUUGGAUUUAUUUUUAUGUGAAAUAAUAAACAUCCUUAUGAGAUGUCCUUUAAUA